This 200-nucleotide ribosomal RNA is filed under the name uncultured bacterium. RNAcentral describes it as "partial 16S ribosomal RNA". It matches the Rfam family "Bacterial small subunit ribosomal RNA", at positions 28 to 232 of the family's 1533-position model. The record is from RNAcentral.
GUUGAACGCUGGCGGCAGGCCUAACACAUGCAAGUCGAGCGCGAAAGUUCUUCGGAAUGAGUAAAGCGGCGGACGGGUGAGUAAUACAUGGGAAUCUGCCUGGUAGUGGGGGACAACGUUUCGAAAGGAACGCUAAUACCGCAUACGCCCUACGGGGGAAAGGGGGGGAGUCUUCGGACCUCUCGCUAUCAGAUGAGCCC